CGAGUUUGAUCCUGGCUCAGAGCGAACGCUGGCGGCGUGGAUUAGGCAUGCAAGUCGAACGAGACCGAUCCCUUCGGGGUGAAAGUCUAGUGGCGAACGGGUGAGUAAUACAUGGACGACCUACCUCCGAGUUGGGGACAACAGCUGGAAACGGCUGCUAAUACCCAAUCGUCCAGAGAUGGUAAAGGCGGGGACCUUCGGGCCUGCCACUUGGAGAGGGGUCCAUGUCCUAUCAGCUUGUUGGUGAGGUAACGGCUCACCAAGGCACAGACGGGUAGCCGGACCGAGAGUUUGGCCGGUCACACUGGGACUGAGACACUGCCCAGACUCCUACGGGAGGCUGCAGUCGAGAAUCUUCCGCAAUGGGCGAAAGCCUGACGGAGCGACGCCGCGUGGAGGAUGAAGGCCCUCGGGUUGUAAACUCCUGUCACACGUUAAGAAAGAGCCCGGGUUAAUACCCCGGGUGUUGACGAAAGCGCGAGAGGAAGUCACGGCUAACUUCGUGCCAGCAGCCGCGGUAAGACGAAGGUGGCAAGCGUUGCUCGGAAUCACUGGGCAUAAAGAGCACGUAGGUGGCUUGGUAAGCGGAGAAUGAAAUCCCAUGGCUCACCCAUGGAACUGUUCUUCGAACUGCCUUGCUUGAGGGCGGGAGGGGGAAGUGGAAUUCCUGGUGUAGCGGUGAAAUGCGUAGAUAUCAGGAGGAACACCGGUGGCGAAAGCGACUUCCUGGCCCGUCCCUGACACUGAGGUGCGAAAGCUAGGGGAGCAAACAGGAUUAGAUACCCUGUAGUCCUAGCCGUAAACGAUGGGCACUAGGUUGAGGGGGAGCUAAUACCCUCUGAGCCGCAGCAAAUGCAUUAAGUGCCCCGCCUGGGGAGUACGGUCGCAAGACUAAAACUCAAAGGAAUUGGCGGGGGCUCACACAAGCGGUGGAGCAUGUGGUUUAAUUCGAAGCAACUCGAAGAACCUUACCCGGGUUUGAAAUCCUUGGAUGCUGCUCCUGAAAGGGAGAUUUGCUGCCCUUCGGGGUGAAACUUGGACAGGUGUUGCAUGGCUGUCGUCAGCUCGUGUCGUGAGAUGUCGGGUUAAGUCCCUCAACGAGCGAAACCCCUGUCUCUAGUUGCCAGCGGUUCGGCCGGGGACUCUAGAGAGACUGCCGUUGUUAAAACGGAGGAAGGUGGGGACGACGUCAAGUCAUCAUGGCCUUUAUGUCCGGGGCUACACACGUGCUACAAUGGCCGGUACAGAGGGAAGCAAGACCGCAAGGUGGAGCAAAACCCACAAAGCCGGCCCCAGUUCGGAUUGGAGGCUGCAAUUCGCCUCCAUGAAGUUGGAAUCGCUAAUCGCGGAUCAGCUACGCCGCGGUGAAUAUGUUCCUGGGCCUUGUACACACCGCCCGUCAAGCCACGAGAGCCGGCAGUGCCCGAAGUCGCGCACCCAACCGCAAGGAGGGAAGUGCCUACGGUAAGGCCGGUGAUUGGGACUAAGUCGUAACAAGGUA
This 1501-nucleotide ribosomal RNA is filed under the name metagenome. Its description in RNAcentral is "bacterial SSU rRNA". It matches the Rfam family "Bacterial small subunit ribosomal RNA". The record is from RNAcentral.